CCGAGCCCUGCCCCGCGGGGAGGCAGCUAAGGCCUGGCGAGAUAUCCAGCGCAGCGUCGGUGGGCCGGCACUGCUGGGGGACCCAGCACGCCCUCUGCAGCCGCUGGCCAGGGUGCUAAGCCCCUCAUUGUCUGGGCCGGCAGGGCCGGUCAGCUGCUCCUAGUGCGGGGCCCGCCAAGCCCACACCCACCCGGAACUCGUGCUGGCCGGCAAGCACCGCGCGCAGCCAGGGUUCCCGGCCGCGCCUCUCCCUCCACACUUCUCCGCAAGCUGAGGGAGCCGGCUCCGGCCUUGGCCAGCCCAGAAAGUGGCUCCCACAGUGCAGUGGUGGGCUGAAGCGUUCCUCAAGUGCCACCAAAGUGGGAGCCCAGGCAGAGGAGGCGCCGAGAGCGAACAAGGGCUGUGAGGACUGCCAGCACGCUGUCACUUCUCAGAGGUACUGUCACUGACACACCGUGGGAUAAGAUGACUAUCACCAGAAAAUUAAUGAUGGCUUUUUAAACAUUAGAAGAUUGGCAAUAAUGUCACACUGAUUUUAUUCUGGCCGUGCUGGCAGCUGAUUAGAUUGUGGCCACCCAGAUUGAAGGUGGGUCUGCAUUUUCCAGUCCACUGACUCAAAUUUUAGUCUCCUUUGGCAACACUUUCACAGACACACCCAGGAACAAUACUUUGUAUCCUUCAAUCCAAUCAAGUUGACGCUCAAUAUUAACCACCACACUGAAGGUCUCAUCAGACAUCUUGGUUAAGCAGCUUCUUAUUAAAGAUUUAUUUGAAUCUUGGGACAUGCUUUGAACAACAAAGACAAGAUUAUCACAAUUACAGCAGCUGUACAGAUACCACUAUUUGGUGGAGCCAUGAUUGAAUUGAUCAAACGGUAUUUAUCUUCUUGACUCCCUCUUUGAUUGGCUACGGAAGAGGGACUUACCAUGAAGAAGGAAUUUCGCCUACCACGGCAAGCUUCUGGCUCUGUGAAUUCAA
Molecule: long non-coding RNA, 978 nt
Filed under: Homo sapiens (human)
Lineage: Eukaryota; Metazoa; Chordata; Mammalia; Primates; Hominidae
Description: HSALNT0086072
Source: RNAcentral